RNAcentral lists this ribosomal RNA (378 nucleotides) under Jupiaba polylepis. RNAcentral's name for it is "partial 12S ribosomal RNA". It matches the Rfam family "Bacterial small subunit ribosomal RNA", at positions 794 to 1374 of the family's 1533-position model. Lineage: Eukaryota; Metazoa; Chordata; Actinopteri; Characiformes; Acestrorhamphidae. The record is from RNAcentral.
GCUUAGCCUUAAACUUAGAUGUUUAAACUACAAGAAACAUCCGCCAGGGUACUACGAGCGCUAGCUUAAAACCCAAAGGACUUGACGGUGUCUCAGACCCACCUAGAGGAGCCUGUCCUAGAACCGAUAAUCCACGUUUAACCUCACCACUUCUUGUUCCCCCCGCCUAUAUACCGCCGUCGUAAGCUUACCCUGUGAAGGAUUAACAGUAAGCAUAAUGGGAAACUCCCAAAACGUCAGGUCGAGGUGUAGCUUAUGAAGUGGGAAGAGAUGGGCUACAUUUUCUACACCAGAAUAUACGAAUGGCACUAUGAAACUAAUGCCUGAAGGUGGAUUUAGAAGUAAAAAUCAAUUAGAGAGUCAUUUUGAACCAGCUCU